AGUGAACGCUGGCGGCGUGCUUAACACAUGCAAGUCGAACGAGAACGGGUUAUAGCUUGCUAUAAUUAUCAGCUAAGUGGCGCACGGGUGAGUAACGUAUAGGUAAUAUGCCUCUUACUAAGGGAUAACAAAUGGAAACGUUUGCUAAUACCUUAUACUCCUUAUUAACAGAAGUUAAUAAGGGAAAGAUUUAUUGGUAAGAGAUUAGCCUGUAUUGUAUCAGUUAGUUGGUGGGGUAAUGGCUUACCAAGACUAUGACACAUAACUGGUUUGAGAGGAUGAUCAGUCACACUGGAACUGAGACACGGUCCAGAUUCCUACGGGAGGCAGCAGUGGGGAAUAUUGCACAAUGGACGAAAGUCUGAUGCAGCAACGCCGCGUGGAGGAUGACACAUUUCGGUGCGUAACUCCUUUUAUAUGAGAAGAUAAUGACGGUAUUAUAUGAAUAAGCACCGGCUAACUCCGUGCCAGCCGCCGCCGUAA
Molecule: ribosomal RNA, 483 nt
Filed under: uncultured bacterium
Lineage: Bacteria
Description: partial 16S ribosomal RNA
Rfam family: Bacterial small subunit ribosomal RNA
Source: RNAcentral